GACGAACGCUGGCGGCGUGCUUAACACAUGCAAGUCGAACGGAAAGGCCCUGCUUUUGUGGGGUGCUCGAGUGGCGAACGGGUGAGUAACACGUGAGUAACCUGCCCUUGACUUUGGGAUAACUUCAGGAAACUGGGGCUAAUACCGGAUAGGAGCUCCUGCUGCAUGGUGGGGGUUGGAAAGUUUCGGCGGUUGGGGAUGGACUCGCGGCUUAUCAGCUUGUUGGUGGGGUAGUGGCUUACCAAGGCUUUGACGGGUAGCCGGCCUGAGAGGGUGACCGGCCACAUUGGGACUGGGAUACGGCCCAGACUCAUACGGGAGGCAGCAGUGGGGAAUAUUGCACAAUGGGCGGAAGCCUGAUGCAGCAACGCCGCGUGCGGGAUGACGGCCUUCGGGUUGUAAACCGCUUUCGCCUGUGACGAAGCGUGAGUGACGGUAAUGGGUAAAGAAGCACCGGCUAACUACGUG
Molecule: ribosomal RNA, 468 nt
Filed under: uncultured bacterium
Lineage: Bacteria
Description: partial 16S ribosomal RNA
Rfam family: Bacterial small subunit ribosomal RNA
Source: RNAcentral